This 457-nucleotide ribosomal RNA is filed under the name uncultured bacterium. RNAcentral's name for it is "bacterial SSU rRNA". It matches the Rfam family "Bacterial small subunit ribosomal RNA", at positions 29 to 477 of the family's 1533-position model. The record is from RNAcentral.
AUUGAACGCUGGCGGCAUGCCUUACACAUGCAAGUCGAGCGGCAGCGCGGGGGCAACCCUGGCGGCGAGCGGCGGACGGGUGAGUAAUACAUCGGAACGUGUCCUUUUGUGGGGGAUAACCAGUCGAAAGACUGGCUAAUACCGCAUGAGAUCUCACGAUGAAAGCGGGGGACCCGUAAGGGCCUCGCGCGAUUGGAGCGGCCGAUGUCGGAUUAGCUAGUUGGCGGGGUAAAAGCCCACCAAGGCAACGAUCCGUAGCUGGUUUGAGAGAACGACCAGCCACACUGGGACUGAGACACGGCCCAGACUCCUACGGGAGGCCAGCAGUGGGGAAUUUUGGACAAUGGGGGCAACCCUGAUCCAGCCAUGCCGCGUGUGUGAAGAAGGCCUUCGGGUUGUAAAGCACUUUCGGCCGGAACGAAAUCGCGCGGGCUAUUACCCCGCGUGGAUGACGGUA